UACGGAGGGUGCAAGCGUUAUCCGGAUUCACUGGGUUUAAAGGGUGCGUAGGUGGGUUGGUAAGUCAGUGGUGAAAUCCCCGAGCUUAACUUGGAAACUGCCAUUGAUACUAUCAGUCUUGAAUAUUGUGGAGGUCAGCGGAAUAUGUCAUGUAGCGGUGAAAUGCUUAGAUAUGACAUAGAACACCAAUUGCGAAGGCAGCUGGCUACACAUAUAUUGACACUGAGGCACGAAAGCGUGGGGAUCAAACAGG
RNAcentral lists this ribosomal RNA (253 nucleotides) under uncultured bacterium. RNAcentral's name for it is "partial 16S ribosomal RNA". It matches the Rfam family "Bacterial small subunit ribosomal RNA", at positions 524 to 776 of the family's 1533-position model. The record is from RNAcentral.